AGAGUUUGAUCCUGGCUCAGAUCAACGCNNGGCGGCGUGCCUAACACAUGCAAGUCGAACGAGAAAGUGGUAGCAAUACCAUGAGUAAAGUGGCGCACGGGUGAGUAACACGUGACUAACCUACCCUGGAGUGGGGGAUAACUGAGGGAAACCUUAGCUAAUACCGCAUAAUACCCACGGGUCAAAGGAGCAAUUCGCUUCAGGAGGGGGGUCGCGGCCGAUUAGUUAGUUGGCGGGGUAAUGGCCCACCAAGACAGUGAUCGGUAUCCGGCCUGAGAGGGCGCACGGACACACUGGAACUGAAACACGGUCCAGACUCCUACGGGAGGCAGCAGUGGGGAAUUUUGCGCAAUGGGGGAAACCCUGACGCAGCAACGCCGCGUGGAGGAUGAAGUCCCUCGGGACGUAAACUCCUUUCGAUCGGGACGAUUAUGACGGUACCGGAAGAAGAAGCCCCGGCUAACUUCGUGCCAGCAGCCGCGGUAAUACGAGGGGGGCGAGCGUUGUUCGGAAUUAUUGGGCGUAAAGGGUGCGUAGGCGGUUUGGUAAGUCUUAUGUGAAAUCUAUGGGCUCAACUCAUAGACUGCAUGAGAAACUGCCGGGCUUGAGUAUGGGAGAGGUGAGUGGAAUUCCUGGUGUAGCGGUGAAAUGCGUAGAUAUCAGGAGGAACACCUGUGGCGAAAGCGGCUCACUGGACCAUAACUGACGCUGAUGCACGAAAGCUAGGGGAGCAAACGGGAUUAGAUACCCUAGUAGUCC
This 759-nucleotide ribosomal RNA is filed under the name uncultured bacterium. Its description in RNAcentral is "bacterial SSU rRNA". It matches the Rfam family "Bacterial small subunit ribosomal RNA", at positions 8 to 796 of the family's 1533-position model. The record is from RNAcentral.